AAGACAUCUGAAAGGGAUUAAAGAUUUAUCGGUGAUGGAUGGGGAUGCGUCUGAUUAGCUUGUUGGCGGGGUAACGGCCCACCAAGGCUACGAUCAGUAGGGGUUCUGAGAGGAAGGUCCCCCACAUUGGAACUGAGACACGGUCCAAACUCCUACGGGAGGCAGCAGUGAGGAAUAUUGGUCAAUGGGCGAGAGCCUGAACCAGCCAAGUAGCGUGCAGGAUGACGGCCCUAUGGGUUGUAAACUGCUUUUAUAAGGGAAUAAAGUGAGCCUCGUGAGGCUUUUUGCAUGUACCUUAUGAAUAAGGACCGGCUAAUUCCGUGCCAGCAGCCGCGGUAAUACGGAAGGUCCGGGCGUUAUCCGGAUUUAUUGGGUUUAAAGGGAGCGUAGGCCGGAGAUUAAGCGUGUUGUGAAAUGUAGAUGCUCAACAUCUGCACUGCAGCGCGAACUGGUUUCCUUGAGUACGCACAAAGUGGGCGGAAUUCGUGGUGUAGCGGUGAAAUGCUUAGAUAUCACGAAGAACUCCGAUUGCGAAGGCAGCUCACUGGAGCGCAACUGACGCUGAAGCUCGAAAGUGCGGGUAUCGAACAGGAUUAGAUACCCUGGUAGUCCGCACGGUAAACGAUGGAUGCCCGCUGUUGGUCUGAAUAGGUCAGCGGCCAAGCGAAAGCAUUAAGCAUCCCACCUGGGGAGUA
This 695-nucleotide ribosomal RNA is filed under the name uncultured bacterium. RNAcentral's name for it is "bacterial SSU rRNA". It matches the Rfam family "Bacterial small subunit ribosomal RNA", at positions 185 to 882 of the family's 1533-position model. The record is from RNAcentral.